Molecule: long non-coding RNA, 3299 nt
Organism: Vespa crabro (European hornet)
Lineage: Eukaryota; Metazoa; Arthropoda; Insecta; Hymenoptera; Vespidae
Exons: 3
Source: RefSeq, a predicted model, not a curated record
GACGGUAUCGGCGAUAAAAGAAGCACUAUGUCAAGGACGCCUGGAUAAUCGUGCUUGCUAUUCCUGUCUAGGAGACGGGAGAGAUAGGAAUCGUUUUCCUUUCGCGUGCUCAGUGAACGCUAUCGUGAGAGAUCUUUUUUCGCAUAUUCAUUUUCAUGCUUUCCCGAGUAACCUAAAUAAUAACAAUAAUUUUUAAUGAUUUUAAUAUUUCGACGUGUUAAGUUUUUGAAUAUACAUUAUAUAUGUACGUAUUUUUAUAUAGACAAGACUAUGUGCGGCAUAGUCAAGAGAGCGAGAUUACUCCGAAAAGACUUUAGCUCGAAGGCGAAGGUGCGUCGUAUACGAAGCGAGACAGAAAACCGGUCGGGCGCAAUAAAGUUCGCGUUUUAAUUCCGCGGCGCUCGGUGCGGUGUAAGUGAAUUUAAAAGGCGCGCCUUAUACCUGCAUUUACUGCGCAGUAAAACAGCGCGCCGAGCCUCUAAUAGUGCGCAUCCGCCGACUAAAGUUUCCAAGCGCCAACGUUCGUACCAUGGGGCACUUAGAGGAACGCUAGCAACCGUGAAAGUACCCCAAUCAGCCGAUAGGAUAUCUAUUAAGGUGCACGAUGCAAAGGACGAUCGUUCGAAAGGAGGAAGGAUCUUGUAGCAUUGAAUCGUAGUCGAAGUCAGGUUCAUCGGGCCGUAACAACGUGGCGAUCGUUCCCGUUGCACAUACUUUCCGCAGCUACUACUAUGCUGACGUACCUAACAAAUAAGGGGACGCGAUGACAUUAAAGAAAAUAACAAACUCACGAGAGGAAAUAUCCGUCAUUCGUUAUCCUUUAUUUACGUAUCGCUGAAUUCAAAACAACGAAGCAACGAGAUGAGUCGUAAGACAAGAGAGUUGUUGCCGUUCACGACACAUAACGGAAUUACCUAUUCUCCAUGACGAUAAUUAAUUCGAUAAAGACUCGACUUCGAAUGCCAAGGGAUUGCGGCGGUACAUAGCUAACAGUCAAUUAGGGACAACCGCAACGAAUCAAUCGACGGUCGAAGGUAGGUAGAAGUGGUAAGGGGUAAAGGAGAAGUAGGAGAAUCAAGAUCGAGAACUCGAUGUUCGUGGGGUCGAUGCUAAUUCCUCGGGUCGACAUCGUGCCCAUGCUCGCGUUCGCCCAUUGGUCCAUACCGGUGGCGGCCCCUUUUGUUCUUUUCACUCAAGAACCGACGAUAUAUGUGGAGCAACCUGGCGACGAUCGUGAUAUGCCAGCCGGCGCCCACGCUCCUGGGCAACUUUAAAAGCGUUAUGCCACCUUCGCCGCUAAACCUUCUGGCCCUGACCUGCCUCGAUCUCUCCCCUACCUUCUCGUAAAGCUACGCCCUCUUAUAUUUUCCGCCUUACCGCUUACCGCCCUUCACGUUCUCCAUCGUAACUCUAUAAUCUAUUAUAUGUGAUAUAUGGUCGAACGAGCGCUACUAUUUGGAGAAUCCAUUCUACGUUAGAGCACGACUAUGAUUCUGUAUAACGAGCACGUGCAAAAGGUGGUACGAUUUAAAUAAGGGAGGAGCAUCGUUUUGGUCCUCGAUGAUCAAGUUGUAUGACAUGUAACGAGACGCAGGUACAUAGGUACGUAUGUAUAUAAACGUAAGAUAGACCUGCCCAUAUUGCGCAUUACGCCCGAACUCCCACGCUCGAAAAGAUUGCUAAGCAUCGAUUCGACGAAUGGCGUUUCAUUCACGGUAAGGCCCACCUCCACUUUCAGCGACGACAGUCGUAGUACGUUGCAACAGGCAAGAAAAGAAGGCCCGAUGGCUGACGAUUGCAUUCGCCAUCCACUGCAAUCUCUCUCCCACUACGAUCAACCUGUCCUCCUACUCUAAUGCCGCUUGUUGGGCCACCUCUUUCCGGGAAGAAACAUCAUCGUCGACCAUUGGAUGCUACGAAAAUCGAGCUACCGAUUGGCCAACAGCCGGUCGUACCUCGUUUAGAAAUCUUGUGACUUUGCGCGAAGAACGCAAGAUUUUAUCUUACGCGAUACGUCCCGAAUGCAGAUUGACUCGGUCUCGUUGUGAAUUCAAAUACGACAGUACAUUUUAUCCUAGAUAUAAAGAACACACACGUUACGUAAGUUAUGUAAAUUUCUCUUCUUCAUUUGAAUGUAAUUGGACGAUUUGAUUGCGUAUUACUAGAUAUUAUAACGUGUACGAAUCUACGAUUAAACUUUUUCAUCUCGGAAAUAUACCUCACGUUAAAUUGUUUGGAUUUAAAAUCGAAGACAGCAAUAUAUAAUUAUGUCAGGUUGAUAGACCGUUGAAAUUUAUAAUAUCUACGAGUAGAUGGAACUUUAAUGGGGUCUUUUCGUGUUCGUUGAACAUUAGUUCUUGUCAAUUAAACUAACGUUAGAUAAAGCAAUUGACCCCGACGAUCAGAGGGCUUACGAAAAUACUAUAAUCAACGUUGCAAUCCAUUUGUCUAUUCUAGAAAACGCAGAAGUAACCUUUUGUUUGAUCGUUAUUAUGAUACAUUUUGUAAAAUCGAAAGGAGGAAAGAUAUCUGUGCGUGCGAGCACAGCACAUGCACGGUAUAUGCACGAAGGUGUCGCUUUUCAUUGCGGUCAAGCUAAAGUUAUUCGAGGUACGAGGAAGUAUUGAAGUCGAAGUCGACAAGCAGGGAGAUCGAUAGGAACGAACAGGAUUGAUGAGGAGAAAGGUGGUGAGCCGUUGAGCCAAGAGCAGCGUGCCGGUGAACGAGGAACGUCCGCGAAAAAGAACAGGAAUAGGAAUGUCGGUUAAUUUGUAACCACGUUUAUCUAGCACGAUACCAGUGCGUACAUUUUUCUUUCUUGCACUCCAUAAGCAGUCGCACAUGCAUACAUAGGCACGCGCGCGAGAAAGAAAGAAAGAAAGAGAGGGAGAGAGAGAGAGAGAAUGAUAAAGAACGAUUACGCGCGAAACGACUUCGAUCAUAUGUAGGUGGUAACUCGAAAAGUUCCUCGUAAUAUCAUUGACUGUGUUCUAAUCGCGAAGCGUUUGUAGUGGAAACAAAAUUAUUACCGAUAAACAAAUUUUCAAUCGAAAAGAAAAAUUAAGAGAUAUAAGAAGUAUACGAUAACGAAAGACAAUAAAAUGUUUCUCAGAACGUAACCGGUAUUUUUUAAAAACGAUAAAAUAUUUUCCGGUUUUACCGAUCUCAUUCUUAAAAACCGGUGAGAGAUCGGUUAAGCUAGAUUCUUCUUGCGUGUACGAAAUAGCGCCUUUUUAUGGCACGUUUCUUUAGACAGCAGCAAUACUUCUAGUUCCUAUUUGAGCAGAGCUUAAGAUAGA